AUCCUCCGCAUCGGCACCUUGAUCGCGGUUGGAUCGGGCACCUCCACGAUGUUCUGGUUCCAUAGAUGGGCUGGAGACUUACCCCUCGCGGCACGUUUUCCCUACCUAUUCUCCAUCGCGGUUGACCCGCGGAUCUCUGUCGCGACGACCCUUAUUGACUUAGGGCAACUCGCGUUCCGGAGAGCGUUUGGCCUGCCUGAGAACGCGGACUGGCAUGAUCUGCUGGAAUGCAUCGCGCUGCACGAGCCUGAUCUUGAGGUAGGAGAAGACCGUGCCAGGUGGCGUCUAGAGCCAUCUGAGCAAUUCUCCACCAAAUCUCUAUACCAGGCCAUCACACCUUCGCUGGGUCAUGAGGUACACACCACCAUCUGGGAUAUACGGCUCCCCUUGAAGAUUAGGAUUUUCUUGUGACAGUGGAUUCGCGGCUGCCUCCCAUCCGGCGUGGAGGUCCUGAUGCGCAACGUCCCAGGGGAUGGGCGAUGCCCGCUCUGCGGGCCUGAAGAGGAUUUGAACCAUAUCUUCUUCACAUGCGUGUCCGCGCAGUUCCUAUGGAGCUGUUUCCGUGAAAUAGUGGGUGGAAGCAGGGACCACAACAACUUCCCCGCUCUUUUCGCGGAACUCCAGGCGUCAGCUCCCUCAAUUCGCCACAUUAGGUGGCUGAUCAUCGGGGUGCUAACCUGGACGAUGUGGACUGUUAGGAAUAAACUUUUGAUUCAGCGCAUUCCUUUUCGACGUGCUACUGACGCUUUGUUCAAAUGGUCUGGUUAG
Molecule: ribosomal RNA, 768 nt
Filed under: Triticum aestivum (bread wheat)
Lineage: Eukaryota; Viridiplantae; Streptophyta; Magnoliopsida; Poales; Poaceae
Description: partial small subunit ribosomal RNA
Source: RNAcentral